CAGUCGCCGCGGUAAUACGAAGGGGGCUAGCGUUGCUCGGAAUCACUGGGCGUAAAGGGUGCGUAGGCGGGUCUUUAAGUCAGGGGUGAAAUCCUGGAGCUCAACUCCAGAACUGCCUUUGAUACUGAAGAUCUCGAGUUCGGGAGAGGUGAGUGGAACUGCGAGUGUAGAGGUGAAAUUUGUAGAUAUUCGCAAGAACACCAGUGGCGAAGGCGGCUCACUGGCCCGAUACCGACGCUGAGGCACGAAAGCGUGGGGAGCAAGCAGGAUUAGAUACCCGGGUAGUCCCUGUCUCUUAUAA
This 301-nucleotide ribosomal RNA is filed under the name uncultured bacterium. Its description in RNAcentral is "partial 16S ribosomal RNA". It matches the Rfam family "Bacterial small subunit ribosomal RNA", at positions 509 to 809 of the family's 1533-position model. The record is from RNAcentral.